RNAcentral lists this ribosomal RNA (253 nucleotides) under uncultured bacterium. Its description in RNAcentral is "partial 16S ribosomal RNA". It matches the Rfam family "Bacterial small subunit ribosomal RNA", at positions 524 to 776 of the family's 1533-position model. The record is from RNAcentral.
AACGUAGGUGGCAAGCGUUAUCCGGAUUUACUGGGCGUAAAGCGUGCGCAGGCGGUUUGCUAAGACAGGUGUGAAAUCCCCGGGCUUAACCUGGGAACUGCGCUUGUAACUAGCAGGCUAGAGUGUGGCAGAGGGGGGUGGAAUUCCAGGUGUAGCAGUGAAAUGCGUAGAUAUCUGGAGGAACACCGAUGGCGAAGGCAGCCCCCUGGGCUAACACUGACGCUCAUGCACGAAAGCGUGGGGAGCAAACAGG